GGACAGAUGGCCGAGCUGGUUAUGGCGCCAGGUUAAGGUUACCUUGACAACAUCUCCUGGUCACGAAAGUGGCGUGGGUUCGAGUCCCACUCUGUUCA
Molecule: transfer RNA, 98 nt
Filed under: Blumeria hordei DH14
Lineage: Eukaryota; Fungi; Ascomycota; Leotiomycetes; Helotiales; Erysiphaceae
Description: tRNA-Leu for anticodon AAG
Rfam family: tRNA
About the family: Transfer RNA (tRNA) molecules are approximately 80 nucleotides in length. Their secondary structure includes four short double-helical elements and three loops (D, anti-codon, and T loops).
Source: Rfam by way of RNAcentral